AGGUCCGUGGUGUAAAGGAUAUCAUAUGGGCCUCCGGAGCCCAUGAUCCGGGUUCAAUUCCCGGUGGACCUG
RNAcentral lists this transfer RNA (72 nucleotides) under Cuniculiplasma divulgatum. Its description in RNAcentral is "tRNA-Arg". It matches the Rfam family "tRNA". Rfam says of the family: Transfer RNA (tRNA) molecules are approximately 80 nucleotides in length. RNAcentral also lists the same sequence under 4 other names. Lineage: Archaea; Methanobacteriati; Thermoplasmatota; Thermoplasmata; Thermoplasmatales; Cuniculiplasmataceae. The record is from RNAcentral.